UGAGGAAUAUUGGUCAAUGGGCGGGGAGCCUGAACCAGCCAAGUCGCGUGAGGGAAGACGGUCCUAUGGAUUGUAAACCUCUUUUGUCGGGGAGCAAAGAGGCCACGUGUGGUCAAAAGCGAGAGUACCCGAAGAAAAAGCAUCGGCUAACUCCGUGCC
RNAcentral lists this ribosomal RNA (159 nucleotides) under uncultured bacterium. Its description in RNAcentral is "partial 16S ribosomal RNA". It matches the Rfam family "Bacterial small subunit ribosomal RNA", at positions 355 to 509 of the family's 1533-position model. The record is from RNAcentral.